CAGUCGCCGCGGUAAUACGAGGGGGGCAAGCGUUGUUCGGAUUUAUUGGGCGUAAAGGGUGCGUAGGCGGUUUGAUAAGUCUGAUGUGAAAUCUAUGGGCUCAACCCAUAGUCUGCAUUAGAAACUGUCGGGCUUGAGUAUGGGAGAGGUGAGUGGAAUUUCCGGUGUAGCGGUGAAAUGCGUAGAUAUCGGAAGGAACACCUGUAGCGAAAGCGGCUCACUGGACCAUAACUGACGCUGAUGCACGAAAGCUAGGGGAGCAAACAGGAUUAGAUACCCCGGUAGUCCCUGUCUCUUAUAA
Molecule: ribosomal RNA, 301 nt
Filed under: uncultured bacterium
Lineage: Bacteria
Description: partial 16S ribosomal RNA
Rfam family: Bacterial small subunit ribosomal RNA
Source: RNAcentral